RNAcentral lists this long non-coding RNA (340 nucleotides) under Ananas comosus (pineapple). Its description in RNAcentral is "long non-coding RNA (ACOM_LNC039333)". The record is from RNAcentral. Lineage: Eukaryota; Viridiplantae; Streptophyta; Magnoliopsida; Poales; Bromeliaceae.
AAAAUUUGUGGGUACAAGUGGCAAAGGGCUUGGUGGUUGGUAUUCGAGGUCUCAAGUUCGAAUCCUAAUUGCUUCAUAUUUUCAGCUAAGUUUAUUUCUAAAUGAAAUUGUGAGAACUGAAAAUUUGACAAUGUAGCUAAACUCGUUGUCGACGAUAUUUUCGUGUGUAAUUUAGUUACAUAAUGUAGUGUUCGAGAGAUUUGGAUAGGGUUGGCUACAGUAUUUAUGACUGGUCGACACAUCUGGAGAGUGUCGGACUGAGUCGGAGUCGUUUCUGCAUGAAAUGGAUGCAGAAAUGGAUUUGGCGCACUCAAGGGAGUAAAACUGGAGUUUUACUAGU